UAGUCCGGAUUGGUUGGAGUCUGCAACUCGACUCCAUGAAGUCGGAAUCGCUAGUAAUCGUGGAUCAGAAUGCCACGGUGAAUACGUUCCCGGGCCUUGUACACACCGCCCGUCACACCAUGGGAGUGGGUUGCAAAAGAAGUAGGUAGCUUAACCUUCGGGAGGGCGCUUACCACUUUGUGAUUCAUGACUGGGGUGAAGUCGUAACAAGGUAACCGUAGGGGAACCUGCGGUUGGAUCACCUCCUUA
Molecule: ribosomal RNA, 249 nt
Filed under: Enterobacter hormaechei
Lineage: Bacteria; Pseudomonadati; Pseudomonadota; Gammaproteobacteria; Enterobacterales; Enterobacteriaceae
Description: partial 16S ribosomal RNA
Rfam family: Bacterial small subunit ribosomal RNA
Source: RNAcentral